Molecule: small nucleolar RNA, 82 nt
Organism: Ochotona princeps (American pika)
Lineage: Eukaryota; Metazoa; Chordata; Mammalia; Lagomorpha; Ochotonidae
Gene: SNORD115
Rfam family: Small nucleolar RNA SNORD115
About the family: HBII-52 is a member of the C/D class of snoRNAs, which contain the C (UGAUGA) and D (CUGA) box motifs. HBII-52 is encoded in a tandemly repeated array with another C/D snoRNA, HBII-85, in the Prader-Willi syndrome (PWS) region of chromosome 15.
Source: Ensembl
ACGCUGAUGAUGAAACCUCCUACUGUCUCUAAGAGAGAUGAUGACUUAAAAAAUCAUGCUCAAUAGGAUCAUACUGAGGCCC